GGCGGCGUAGCUCAGCUGGUUAGAGCGUUCGGUUCAUACCCGAAAGGUCGGGGGUUCGAUUCCCUCCACCGCUACCA
Molecule: transfer RNA, 77 nt
Filed under: Brevibacillus brevis
Lineage: Bacteria; Bacillati; Bacillota; Bacilli; Caryophanales; Paenibacillaceae
Also listed under: 53 other names
Description: tRNA-Met(cat)
Rfam family: tRNA
About the family: Transfer RNA (tRNA) molecules are approximately 80 nucleotides in length. Their secondary structure includes four short double-helical elements and three loops (D, anti-codon, and T loops). Further hydrogen bonds mediate the characteristic L-shaped molecular structure. tRNAs have two regions of fundamental functional importance: the anti-codon, which is responsible for specific mRNA codon recognition, and the 3' end, to which the tRNAs corresponding amino acid is attached (by aminoacyl-tRNA synthetases). tRNAs cope with the degeneracy of the genetic code in two manners: having more than one tRNA (with a specific anti-codon) for a particular amino acid; and 'wobble' base-pairing, i.e. permitting non-standard base-pairing at the 3rd anti-codon position.
Source: RNAcentral